Molecule: long non-coding RNA, 144 nt
Organism: Astyanax mexicanus (Mexican tetra)
Lineage: Eukaryota; Metazoa; Chordata; Actinopteri; Characiformes; Acestrorhamphidae
Exons: 3
Source: RefSeq, a predicted model, not a curated record
GUACAUAUCGACACAAAUCAUAAGCUUAUCAGAUAUGGCCUUGUCAUUUUUGGAGGUGUUGAUGGCUUCUCAAGAAAGAUCAUGUACCUAGGUGCUGCAACCAAUAAUAAAGCAUCAACUGCACUUGCAUUUUUCUUGGAGGCA